RNAcentral lists this ribosomal RNA (737 nucleotides) under uncultured bacterium. RNAcentral's name for it is "bacterial SSU rRNA". It matches the Rfam family "Bacterial small subunit ribosomal RNA", at positions 1 to 739 of the family's 1533-position model. The record is from RNAcentral.
UAGAGUUUGAUCAUGGCUCAGAUUGAACGCUGGCGGCAGGCCUAACACAUGCAAGUCGAGCGGUAGAGAGAAGCUUGCUUCUCUUGAGAGCGGCGGACGGGUGAGUAAUGCCUAGGAAUCUGCCUGGUAGUGGGGGAUAACGUUCGGAAACGGACGCUAAUACCGUAUACGUCCUACGGGAGAAAGCAGGGGACCUUCGGGCCUUGCGCUAUCAGAUGAGCCUAGGUCGGAUUAGCUAGUUGGUGGGGUAAUGGCUCACCAAGGCGACGAUCCGUAACUGGUCUGAGAGGAUGAUCAGUCACACUGGAACUGAGACACGGUCCAGACUCCUACGGGAGGCAGCAGUGGGGAAUAUUGGACAAUGGGCGAAAGCCUGAUCCAGCCAUGCCGCGUGUGUGAAGAAGGUCUUCGGAUUGUAAAGCACUUUAAGUUGGGAGGAAGGGUUGUAGAUUAAUACUCUGCAAUUUUGACGUUACCGACAGAAUAAGCACCGGCUAACUCUGUGCCAGCAGCCGCGGUAAUACAGAGGGUGCAAGCGUUAAUCGGAAUUACUGGGCGUAAAGCGCGCGUAGGUGGUUUGUUAAGUUGGAUGUGAAAUCCCCGGGCUCAACCUGGGAACUGCAUUCAAAACUGACUGACUAGAGUAUGGUAGAGGGUGGUGGAAUUUCCUGUGUAGCGGUGAAAUGCGUAGAUAUAGGAAGGAACACCAGUGGCGAAGGCGACCACCUGGACUAAUA